AAAACAGUUAAAUUUUAGAAAUUUUGCAAUAGCAAUGUAUGUGUUUGAUGAAAUGUCUGUUCCAACUUCUCCCAAAAGUGGUAACAAAAUGGAACCUGGAAUGCUCCUUGAAGAAAGUUGGUUUUUUGGAAACUUACUUGAUAGAAAAUCAAGAAUGUUGAGAUGUUAUUCUGAGCCUUGUUCUUCUUCAAAGAAAACCCAAGAUUUUUUAUCUGGAAAAUCCAUGGAAGAAACAUUUUCUUCACUGCAAAAACUCCCACA
RNAcentral lists this unclassified non-coding RNA (261 nucleotides) under Hevea brasiliensis (rubber tree). The record is from RNAcentral. Lineage: Eukaryota; Viridiplantae; Streptophyta; Magnoliopsida; Malpighiales; Euphorbiaceae.